Long non-coding RNA from Helicoverpa armigera (cotton bollworm), 1736 nucleotides. RefSeq lists it as uncharacterized. The record is from RefSeq and is a predicted model, not a curated record. Lineage: Eukaryota; Metazoa; Arthropoda; Insecta; Lepidoptera; Noctuidae. The transcript has 4 exons.
AAAAUCAGUACUUUAAACGUUCUUUAAGAGCAUUUUAUUUUCACUUAUAAGAAUCUUGUAGCAUGCUACAAAGUUGAAUUUGGGCGCAGUUAUACGAGCAUUUAGUUCUAUAACUAUCUUAUAAUCAUCUUAUACAAUGUUAUUAAGCCUUAUAAUAUACUUGACGAAGCUCAAUAGCGCCUUUAAUGAUAUGAGACUAAACAAUUACAAGUGCAAACACUCUUGUUAGUAUCUGACGUAAGUAUUUUAUUAGAGCAAUCUUGUUUAUAAAGCACUUGUAAUGGUCUUAGAAAAUAGUUUUAAGUAUAUUUUAAUACAAGUUAUUUUCGUUGUUGCUUUGACUGGUCGUGCCGGAUUUUUUGUGUUACCACGCACGUAAAAACCUGCAGUACGGGCGCCAGAGGUGCGGGGGGCGGUUGCAUGUCGAACCAGUAGCUGUCUAGCAGUAGUAGCACCUGAGUUGUCAGGAAGAGCGCGUGUGCUUAAUGUGAGUAAGGUGUAUCGCCAGAGAUUUACGUAUUUUUACUAUAUUUGAAGUAACUUUCCUAGAGUAUAGUAGCUACUAGUAUUUCCUAGAGACGGACCUGAUCACGCGUUGUGUUGAAACUCUCUACGAGGCAAGGUCAACGUGUUUCCACAAACUUGUGGGUGAUUAUAUUAUUCUUUUUUUUCUAGUCAAACAUUAUUUUGUUUACAGGUUCAAAAUGCCAUUUAAAAUUGUUCAGACCAUUGAAAAGGGUAACAUUGUAUUGACAUGUGUACCACAUCAAUGGGAGAGCGAUGGAGUUUUGUAUUGGCCCAGAAAACAAACCCAGUCACAGACGAGUAAGUUACAAAAGGAUGAAGGUAGUUGGCCCGAUGAAUCUUGGGAAAAAAUAAACUGUGCGGUAAAAAGGCGGAGCAUAAAAACGUAUCAAAAUGCAAUACAUGAAAUUGAUAUAAUGAGCAAUAAUUCAGACACAGAACCUGACAUAGAAUACGUCUCAUCAAAAAAACAGCGCAAUUGCUCUGAUCUUCCACAGCUGUCAUAUGAUAAUAUGGCAGAAGAAAUUUUAAAGAAUAAUGAGCAUAAUGCUUCUUCAGCAAUAAUACCUGAAGAUGGAGAACAAAUAAUGGUGACUAAUUACGAAAUCACGACACCGAAAGAGUCAACUCCAUCUGAAACACCGUUGAGCGCGCCGCAAGAAAAUAUUGAAAAAUACAUUGUUAUUCCUGAAAGUAAUCAGUCGGACACACCUAUAAUAUACUCGUACAUUAAUAAAGAAACAAGUUUAUCAGAAGAACAAUGCGAAUUAAAAUCCAUGAAAAUAGAUAUCACCACUAUUAAAAGUGACCUAAAAUCCAUAAAUGACGAUAUGAAGACUAUAAUGGGGACCCUGAACACAACACUAAAUAAUCAAGCCGUAUUACACGAAACACUGAAAUCGAUUUUAUUACAAGUGACUGAAAUACAAGUUACGAACGAAGAAUUCAUUAAAAAAUCUAUUACAGAAAAACAAAACCAUUCGUUGAUGUUAAAACCAAUACAAGAUUUAAAAGAUUUAGAAGAGUUUGAAAAUAAAUUGAUGGAUUCUGAUUAUAGAGAAGAUUUACUAAGAAAGUUUAGUGUGUUUGGCACUAAAGGGACAGGGAAGGGAAUCACAAGAGCAUAUACAAUUAUUGAUAUUUUGUUUGAAAGAAAGUUUUUCAAAUCGUGUUCGUGGACUGGAGCUUCACGUUCCCAAAAUGAAACAACA